This 253-nucleotide ribosomal RNA is filed under the name uncultured bacterium. RNAcentral describes it as "partial 16S ribosomal RNA". It matches the Rfam family "Bacterial small subunit ribosomal RNA", at positions 524 to 776 of the family's 1533-position model. The record is from RNAcentral.
UACGGGGGGUGCAAGCGUUGUUCGGAAUUAUUGGGCGUAAAGAGCGUGUAGGCGGCUGAAUAAGUCAGAUGUGAAAUCCCUGGGCUUAACCCAGGAAGUGCAUUUGAAACUAUUCAGCUUGAGUAGGGGAGAGGAAAGUGGAAUUCCUGGUGUAGAGGUGAAAUUCGUAGAUAUCAGGAGGAACACCGGUGGCGAAGGCGACUUUCUGGCCCUAUACUGACGCUGAGUCACGAAAGCGUGGGUAGCAAACAGG